CGCACGGGUGAGUAACACGUAUGGAACCUGCCCUAUGCAGGGGGAUAAGCGGAAGAAAUUCCGUCUAAUACCGCAUAACACCAUUUGGAGACAUCUCCAGGGGGUCAAAGGAGGCGACUCCGGCAUAGGAUGGCCAUGCGUCGCAUUAGCUAGUCGGCGGGGUAACGGCCCACCGAGGCGACGAUGCGUAGGGGUUCUGAGAGGAAGGUCCCCCACACUGGUACUGAGACGCGGACCAGACUCCUACGGGAGGCAGCAG
Molecule: ribosomal RNA, 259 nt
Filed under: uncultured bacterium
Lineage: Bacteria
Description: partial 16S ribosomal RNA
Rfam family: Bacterial small subunit ribosomal RNA
Source: RNAcentral